This 492-nucleotide ribosomal RNA is filed under the name uncultured bacterium. Its description in RNAcentral is "partial 16S ribosomal RNA". It matches the Rfam family "Bacterial small subunit ribosomal RNA", at positions 29 to 507 of the family's 1533-position model. The record is from RNAcentral.
AGUGAACGCUGGCGGUAGGCCUAACACAUGCAAGUCGAACGGCAGCACAGUAAGAGCUUGCUCUUACGGGUGGCGAGUGGCGGACGGGUGAGGAAUACAUCGGAAUCUACUUUUUCGUGGGGGAUAACGUAGGGAAACUUACGCUAAUACCGCAUACGACCUACGGGUGAAAGCAGGGGAUCUUCGGACCUUGCGCGAUUGAAUGAGCCGAUGUCGGAUUAGCUAGUUGGCGGGGUAAAGGCCCACCAAGGCGACGAUCCGUAGCUGGUCUGAGAGGAUGAUCAGCCAGACUGGAACUGGGACACGGUCCAGACUCCUACGGGAGGCAGCAGUGGGGAAUAUUGGACAAUGGGCGCAAGCCUGAUCCAGCCAUACCGCGUGGGUGAAGAAGGCCUUCGGGUUGUAAAGCCCUUUUGUUGGGAAAGAAAAGCAGCAGGUUAAUACCCCGCUGUUCUGACGGUACCCAAAGAAUAAGCACCGGCUAACUUCGUG